ACUCCUACGGGAGGCAGCAGUGAGGAAUAUUGGUCAAUGGGCGGCAGCCUGAACCAGCCAUCCCGCGUGAAGGAAGAAUGCGCUAUGCGUUGUAAACUUCUUUUCCAGGGGAAUAAAAAUCUGUACGUGUACAGGUCUGAAGGUACCCUGGGAAUAAGCAUCGGCUAACUCCGUGCCAGCAGCCGCGGUAAUACGGAGGAUGCAAGCGUUAUCCGGAUUCAUUGGGUUUAAAGGGUGCGUAGGCGGACUAUUAAGUCAGUGGUGAAAGCCUGCAGCUUAACUGCAGAACUGCCAUUGAUACUGAUAGUCUUGAGUUUGGUUAAGGUAGGCGGAAUGUGUAAUGUAGCGGUGAAAUGCUUAGAUAUUACACAGAACACCAAUUGCGUAGGCAGCUUACUGAGCCGACACUGACGCUGAGGCACGAAAGCGUGGGGAUCGAACAGGAUUAGAUACCCUGGUAGUC
RNAcentral lists this ribosomal RNA (463 nucleotides) under uncultured bacterium. Its description in RNAcentral is "bacterial SSU rRNA". It matches the Rfam family "Bacterial small subunit ribosomal RNA", at positions 335 to 795 of the family's 1533-position model. The record is from RNAcentral.